UACGUAGGGCCCAAGCGUUAUCCGGAAUCACUGGGCGUAAAGCGUGCGUAGGUGGCGCGUUAAGUGAGAUGUUAAAUCGUGUGGCUCAACCAUAUCGAUGCAUCUCAUACUGGCGUGCUAGAGGACAGCAGAGGCAAGUGGAAUUUGUAGUGUAGCAGUGAAAUGCGUAGAUAUUACAAGGAACACCAAUGGCGAAGGCAGCUUGCUGGGCUACUCCUGACACUGAGGUACGAAAGCGUGGGGAGCGAACAGG
RNAcentral lists this ribosomal RNA (253 nucleotides) under uncultured bacterium. RNAcentral describes it as "partial 16S ribosomal RNA". It matches the Rfam family "Bacterial small subunit ribosomal RNA", at positions 524 to 776 of the family's 1533-position model. The record is from RNAcentral.